CCUACGGGUGGCUGCAGUGGGGAAUAUUGCACAAUGGGCGCAAGCCUGAUGCAGCCAUGCCGCGUGUGUGAAGAAGGCCUUCGGGUUGUAAAGCACUUUCAGCGGGGAGGAAGGCGGUGAGGUUAAUAACCUCAUCGAUUGACGUUACCCGCAGAAGAAGCACCGGCUAACUCCGUGCCAGCAGCCGCGGUAAUACGGAGGGUGCAAGCGUUAAUCGGAAUUACUGGGCGUAAAGCGCACGCAGGCGGUCUGUCAAGUCGGAUGUGAAAUCCCCGGGCUCAACCUGGGAACUGCAUUCGAAACUGGCAGGCUAGAGUCUUGUAGAGGGGGGUAGAAUUCCAGGUGUAGCGGUGAAAUGCGUAGAGAUCUGGAGGAAUACUGGUGGCGAAGGCGGCCCCCUGGACAAAGACUGACGCUCAGGUGCGAAAGCGUGGGGAGCAAACAGGAUUAGAUACCCGAGUAGUC
This 465-nucleotide ribosomal RNA is filed under the name uncultured Klebsiella sp. RNAcentral describes it as "bacterial SSU rRNA". It matches the Rfam family "Bacterial small subunit ribosomal RNA", at positions 338 to 795 of the family's 1533-position model. The record is from RNAcentral. Lineage: Bacteria; Pseudomonadati; Pseudomonadota; Gammaproteobacteria; Enterobacterales; Enterobacteriaceae.